This 99-nucleotide non-coding RNA is filed under the name Streptomyces sp. Its description in RNAcentral is "Glycine sequence". It matches the Rfam family "Glycine riboswitch aptamer". From Rfam's summary of the family: This family represents the bacterial glycine riboswitch. Glycine riboswitches usually consist of two metabolite-binding aptamers domains with similar structures in tandem. The record is from RNAcentral. Lineage: Bacteria; Bacillati; Actinomycetota; Actinomycetes; Kitasatosporales; Streptomycetaceae.
UUGAUCAGUAUUAGAGAGCAUAAAAAGAUAUCUUUUUAUCGCCGAAGGUGCAAGUAAAUUUAUUACGAAACUCUCAGGCAAAAGGAUAAUACUGUAACG